Cucumis sativus (cucumber) is the source of this 1290-nucleotide RNA transcript. It is a transcript of the gene named protein NUCLEAR FUSION DEFECTIVE 6, chloroplastic/mitochondrial, with no coding region annotated. The record is from RefSeq and is a predicted model, not a curated record. NCBI's taxonomy places the organism in Eukaryota, Viridiplantae, Streptophyta, Magnoliopsida, Cucurbitales, Cucurbitaceae. The transcript has 5 exons.
GUAGUAACCCCUCAGGACCCAAAGUAGGGUUUUAGCUUUAGCCCUCAGCAGCCAGGCAAGAGGCAGUUCUCUCUUGUUCAUAUUCCGAAACCAAGAAGAACAACCUUCUGAAUCUACCAUUUCUUCUCAUAAUCAAUGGCCUCAAUUGGUGCUCGGUCUGCUUUCCGCUCAUUCUCCGGUUCGGCACGCCGUGCUGCUGCUCACAUCGGUUCUCAACCCAAGGCCUCAUCAUCCUCUCCCUUUCGCAUGGCAACUAACAAACCCCUCUCUCAUCGUACUUUCAGGUGUGCGCCUGAGAUGAGCUUCUGUUUGGAGUCAAUGAUGCCAUUUCACUCUGUGUCGUCCUCAGCUUUGAUGACUUCAAUGCUCUCUAUCUCACGCCACAGCUGUGGUUGGCUCCCCGAAGGUAGCUAGCACAAUUUAUAGGCCCAUUGAUGUUCUUCUUGCCUUCUUGUUGCUCUGCAUGCAAUGACGAUCUAUGAUAAAUUACCAAGAGGAUCUAUACGGGCAGUGACUUCUAUUAAGUAGAAGCUUCCAUGCUCCAAAUGGUGGUUUGUGAAGAAGAGCUUCCGAUCAAUGGCAAUGGAUUAUUGUUAUUUGAAGACUGAUUUAAUUUUAAUUUUUUAGUAUUUAUUCUCUAUUUCGUACUCAUUGAUUGUUAACAAUUGUAUGUGAUAAUGCUAAUUUUUUCAUUGAAUUUGCUUUGAGCAGUUGACAACUUCGUCUUGUUACUGGAAAGUAGGGUUUGUAUUUUGUAGCUGCUUCGAUAUUAUUGACUUGAAAUAUGUGCUAAGAUGAGUGGUUGAAAUACAAGUGUCUUCAAUCAUCAUGGUUAAAAUAUCAAAGAGAAGAUUUUCAAUCCAAAAGGCACACUUUUUUCUACUGCUCCCUCCUUGAUCAUUAUAGCCUAUAUAUACUGCUAGCCAGCUUUGCUUUUCAGGCGGUGAUAUUCAAUCAGCAUGUCUAGCAUGAAGGUUUGCAACAAUGUUGAAUUUGCCAUUUCCAUUGCUUGUUUGUACCUCAAAUUCAGAUUCUUCAUCAGAGAUAUCAUAGUUGUGCCUAGAUUUUCCUAUGACUUUCAAUUGGAUUAUUGGUAUAACCCAAAUCAGAAUGUAGAUGUGAACGUCUAGUUAGUCAUUUGCCAAGUUUAAAGCAUGGUAACAAAUAUUGUUUGUUUGGUUUUCGAUCAACCAUGUUUUAAUUCUGUAAUGGAGUAUGAAUAUCAUGUUGAAAUUGGCCUUUCACGAACAUUGAAGAAGCUAAAUAAAUGGCUCCAAAAUUUUAUUGAAA